RNAcentral lists this ribosomal RNA (497 nucleotides) under uncultured bacterium. RNAcentral describes it as "partial 16S ribosomal RNA". It matches the Rfam family "Bacterial small subunit ribosomal RNA", at positions 28 to 507 of the family's 1533-position model. The record is from RNAcentral.
GAUGAACGCUGGCGGCGUGCCUAAUACAUGCAAGUCGAGCGAACAGACGAGGAGCUUGCUCCCUUGACGUUAGCGGCGGACGGGUGAGUAACACGUGGGUAACCUACCUAUAAGACUGGGAUAACUUCGGGAAACCGGAGCUAAUACCGGAUAAUAUUUCGAACCGCAUGGUUCGAUAGUGAAAGAUGGCUCUGCUAUCACUUAUAGAUGGACCUGCGCCGUAUUAGCUAGUUGGUAAGGUAACGGCUUACCAAGGCAACGAUACGUAGCCGACCUGAGAGGGUGAUCGGCCACACUGGAACUGAGACACGGUCCAGACUCCUACGGGAGGCAGCAGUAGGGAAUCUUCCGCAAUGGGCGAAAGCCUGACGGAGCAACGCCGCGUGAGUGAUGAAGGUCUUCGGAUCGUAAAACUCUGUUAUUAGGGAAGAACAAACGUGUAAGUAACUGUGCACGUCUUGACGGUACCUAAUCAGAAAGCCACGGCUAACUACGUG